UACGGGGGGGACGAGCGUUGUUCGGAUUUACUGGGCGUAAAGGGCGCGUAGGCGGACCUUCAAGUCGGGUGUGAAAACUGUCGGCUCAACUGACAACCUGCACUCGAUACUGUCGGCCUUGAGUACGGGAGAGGAGAGCGGAAUUCCUGGUGUAGCGGUGAAAUGCGUAGAUAUCAGGAAGAACACCAGUAGCGAAGGCGGCUCUCUGGACCGAUACUGACGCUAAAGCGCGAAGGCUUGGGGAGCAAACAGGAUUAGAUACCCGCGUA
This 269-nucleotide ribosomal RNA is filed under the name uncultured prokaryote. Its description in RNAcentral is "partial 16S ribosomal RNA". It matches the Rfam family "Bacterial small subunit ribosomal RNA", at positions 524 to 792 of the family's 1533-position model. The record is from RNAcentral.